ACACACACACACACACACGAGUGUGUGGAUAUAUAUAUGUAUAUAUAUAGAAUUUCUUUUUUUUUCCAAUAUCACUCUGUUUUUUUCUCUUCUCUCUCUUCACUUUUCCUACUUUUCUAUAACAAAAAUAUUGUUCUCCCACUUUCGAUGUAUACCAAUUUUUUUCCAUCUCUUCUUAUCAUAUAUGAAAUCUCAAUAAAUACAUAAUAUUAAAAAAAAAGGAAAAUAACAUCGCUUUAGCACUUGCAUCAUCUGGAAUAGCAGCAACAUUGCUACCAGGAGGAAGAACAGCACAUUCAGCACUAAAACUACCUUUAAACAUACAACACAUUGAAACACCAAUCUGUAACAUCUCAAAAACAUCAGGUAUGGGAAAAGUACUCUAAAAAUCCAAAAUAAUCAUAUGGGAUGAAUGUACUAUGGCCCACAAGAAAUCUCUUGAGGCUCUCCACCGUACACUUCAAGACCUGCGUGACAAUAAAGGCCCCUUUGGAAAUGCCACAAUACUUCUGGCAGGAGACUUCAGGCAAACCUUACCCAUCAUUCCCCAUUCCACACCAGCGGAUGAAAUCAAUGCAUACCUGAAAUACUCUACUUUGUGGCAAUAUGUCAAAACAUUAAAACUGACCACGAAAUACAAUUACAGUACCAAUGUUCUAUUUAUUAUACCAAAUUGGUUUGCUUGAAGCAGUUCUUUUCACAAUGUGACUCAUGAAAUCUCACCUUCUCUGUUUCCCUCUUAUCUUUUUUUCUCUCAGCAGGAUGAAAAGAAGGAUGCCAUUCCUCAGGCAAGUCAUCAGGUUAGUCUUCAAGCCAACCUGUGGGCUAGUCAGCAGGCCGGUCAUCAAAUCUCAUGAAAUAUCACCUUCUCUGUUUCCCUCUUCUCAUCUUUUCCUUUUAGCAGGAGGAGACGAAGCAUGCAAUUCCUCAGACCAGCCUGCAGGCCAGUCAUCAGGCCGGAUCAUCAGGCCAGCCAGCGGAUCAGUCAUCAAAUCUAAUCACAUCUCAUCUUCUCUGUUUCCUCUUCUCUUUUUUUUCUAUAAGCAAGAAGAAUUGAAUCAUGCCGUUCCUCAGGCCAGUCAUCAUGCCAGCCAGUGGGCCGAUCAUUGAGCCAGCCAGCGGGCCAGUCAGUGGGAUGGUAAUCAAAUCUCAUGAAAUCUAACAUUCUCUGUUUCCCUCUUCUCUUUUUUUCCUCUUAGCAGGAGGAAAUGGGAGAUGUCGCUACUCUGGCCAGUCUGCAGGCCAGACAUUUAGCUAGUCUGCGGGCCAGUCAUCAGGCCAUCCUACAGGUCAGCCAUCGGCUCAGCCUCAAGCAUCCGAUCUGACACCAGAGACGCCAACAUGCUCAGUAAUGUUCUAGAGAGGGAAGGAGGAUAUUGCUCAGGGAGGUUUGAAUUCCUAGACUCCACAUUAAGAAAGAAUACUGGCUUGGGAACCUUGUAAUUUUGAUUUUUUUAAUUAUGUCCUAGAUUGUUGUUUUCUUGUGUUUUAAAUCUUUUUGUCAAAUACCUGACAGCAUCACAGUUGUGAGUUUAGUAUAUAGGCUUCUUCAACCCUCCCACUGUCCUUUCAUGCUCACAAUCACUGUAAGCUAAAAGACAGCAAUUGGACUCACCAUCCACUGAGAAAUGUCAUGACCAAGUACAACGUGAAUUUGGCUUUCCUAAUUAUAGCCCCAAUGUUCUAUUCACUAUACCAAAUUGGCUGGUCUGAAGCAGUUAUUUUCACAAUGUGACUCAUGAAAUCUCGCCUCUGUUUCCCUCUUCUCUUUUUUUUCACUUUGGUUUUCAGGCCAGUUUUCAGGCCAGUGUGGGUUAGUUAUUAAGCCAUCCUUCAGGUCAGCCAUCGGCUCAACCUCAGCUGACACCAGAGACAUCGACAUACUCAGAAUUAUUCUAGCUCUCUGUUUCCCUCUUCUCUUUUUUUCUCUUAGGAUGCCAUUCCUCAGGCCACUUUUCAUGCCAGUCUGUGGGCCAGUAAUUAGCCCAUCCUUCAGGUCAGCCAUUGACUCGGUCUUAGCCGACACAAGAGAUGUCGACAUGCUUGGUAACUUUCUAGAGAGGGAACGAGGAUAUUGCUCAGGGAGGUUUAAAUUCCUAGAAUCUGCAUCUAGAAAGAAUCCUGUUUUGGGAACCUCAUAAUUUUGGAGCUCCAAUAUGGAGCUUCUGCUGUGAUCCUAAUUUCAAAUGGUGAAGCUAUAUGGAACUCUCUUUUGUUAGAAUAGGAAACAGGAAAAGAUGCUCUGUGUUUGAAUGGAUCUGUUUUAAAUCUAACACAGAUUCCAAUGAACCUGUAGGCCAAGCUGUCAGAGUCAUGUGGUCUCAGAAGGGCUUCACUGGGUGGAACGGCCGCAGGGGAGGAAUCACCUGUGUGUUGAUUGGUUAUGCACUGAUCUCCAUGUUAAGGACAGCAGCCAUUUUGUCUGACCUCAUGGCUGACUGGUGGGGGCGGACAUUUUGUUGGACCUGAAAUAGCAGCCAUCUUGAUGAAGAAUUUCACCUCAACAUGGAAGGACUAUUGGCAGGCCAAAGAACUGUAUGCUGGCCUAUAAAUGGCGAUUUGCCUUCCAACGGUAUGGUAGUCUAUUCUUUUAUGUUAACAGGAUUUACUGUUACUUUUUACUUUUCAGCAUCAAGAGUGUCCAAGCUGCAGUUCACCAAGCUGUAAAUCCACUAAUCAACUACUUAGCGACUUCAUAGCCUGAAAUAUUUAAAAUGCAGAUUAUAUUACAAAGCCAGCUGUUACCAACUCACACAAUGGGAUAUGGUUGACAACUUGACAUGUCCUAUUAGCUAUAUGAGAAUUAAUUAAUGAGGGAUUGUUUUUGUUUCACAGAAUGGCACCCAUAAAGAAUGUUGGAGCCCCCCCCCCCCCAUAUUUCUUCAGAAGUAGAGAAGAUGACAAGAUGGCAGAGACAAUCAAUUCGCUUUUGGCUCACAUGAGCACAUUGGAAAAGGAGAAAGGGGCAGCCCCCUUUUCCUCCAGUCCAUGGCUUGCCUGCCUCGCAAAUGCAGUUUUGUUGGUGCAUAGAUGUCUGGUCCUGAUCUGCGGCCAUAGCUACGUGCAUUUGGAGCGACAGGCCCGGAGGAGUUCCUAUGGCCAACAUCUGGGCCUCGCCACCAUGGCCACCAUGAAAUGGAGGAACAGAAGAGGCUUGCGUUGGGAUGGUUUAAUCCUGCUGUUACUCAAAUGAAAUUGAGUCUCUCUUUUGGAAGAUGCAGUGUGAUCAGUCAGCACUGGAACACAUUCUGGGGGGACAACAACCAUCUGGAAUGAAAACAUUCCAGUCUACCACCUAUGCUCAAUUGAACAGAAGACCAAUGAGCUGUUGGCAAUGUAUGCCUUAAUGUUUGCUGCGGUAUGCAGUUGACAAGAAAAGACUUUGAUAGUAGAAGAAGGAUUAUAUAUAGCCAACAUGUUUUUUAAAGAGAAAUUUUGAAUGUGAUUUUUUUUACCCACUUAAAGCCCUCUAGGACAGGGACUUUGGCUAGAUUUACCCAUAAUACGCAUCCCAGUCAAACUUUUGCUAUUAGAAUGUGGAAAGAUUUUAUUGGGCUUGAAAACAUAUGCUGCUUUGGACUGCUGUACAAAGACUUCUUGCGCACUCUUAUGCAAAACAUCUACAUAGAUUGUUUUAUGAAGAAUCUCAGUGGCCUGAGGCUUAGGAAAUUUUUAAAUGAUGUUCAUUGAAAUUUAUUUAAUCUAUUUAAUUUUACAUGUAUUGUGUGUUACAUGUUUCCUGUGGUUUAUGAUUUUUAAUGAUUUUUUAUGCUAUGUUAUCUUGCUGUUUUAGUCAUGUUCACCCAUGGGAGAAAAGCAGGAUUAAAUAAAUAAAUAAUUUUUCCAUUC
Anolis carolinensis (green anole) is the source of this 3849-nucleotide long non-coding RNA. RefSeq lists it as uncharacterized. The record is from RefSeq and is a predicted model, not a curated record. Lineage: Eukaryota; Metazoa; Chordata; Lepidosauria; Squamata; Anolidae. The transcript has 3 exons.